GAUUGUAUAAUGGUAUGAGUCGUCGACUGCGUCGUCCAAAGACACAUUGGUUUUCGGAUAAUAACUUUAGAUAAAGUGAAUAGAUCUUUAUGAAAUUUUAUCACAAGGUUCAAUACCACAAAAGGAAGGUUGGGAUUUUGGGGGUAAUUGUCCCAACCGUUUAGGAAUUAGGGGCCCAAAACAAGCAUUUUUCUAGUUUCAGGAUAAUAACUUGUGUACAAGUAUUUCAAUUGCUCUGAAAUUAUACCACAAUGUUUAAAACCACAAGUAGAAGGUUUGGAUUCAUUAUAGGGGUUAUGGGGCUAAAGUUUAGGAAUUAAGGGCCAAAAAGGGGCCAAAAGUCCAAAACAAGUAUUUUUCUAGUUUCCAGACAAUAACUUGUGUGUAAUUGUAUGGAUCUCUCUGAAAUUGUACCACAAUGUACCAUAUAUCAAAAGGGAGGCUGGGAUUAAGUUUUGGGUUAAUUGCCAAAAAUAUGUACGAAUUAGGGCCAAAAAGAAGCAUGUUUCUAGUUUCCAAAAAAUCAUGACAAUAACUUUUGUUUAAGUGUAUGGAAUCACUAUGGAUCUCUCUGAAAUUGUACUACAAGGUUCAAUACUACAAAGGAAAGCAUGGGAUUGAGUUUAAGGGUUAUUGUUUCAAUAAGUUGGGGGGAAUUUUUUUUUACCAUUUUUUUAAGGGAUUCCCUUUUUUUUCAAAAUUUUUCAAAUUUGAAAUUUUGAAAAGUUUCAAGAAGAAAUCUUCAAUUGCACAGAAUUGUGCAAUAGAUUUGUUAGAUCUUUG
Molecule: long non-coding RNA, 783 nt
Filed under: Mytilus galloprovincialis (Mediterranean mussel)
Lineage: Eukaryota; Metazoa; Mollusca; Bivalvia; Mytilida; Mytilidae
Source: RNAcentral